Molecule: non-coding RNA, 21 nt
Filed under: Caenorhabditis elegans
Lineage: Eukaryota; Metazoa; Nematoda; Chromadorea; Rhabditida; Rhabditidae
Source: RNAcentral
UUUGAAACGCUAGGGAAAAUU